UUUGGGCGUGUCUCCCUUCUCGGGAGACUCUCUCAACCCCAAGAACCCUUGACCUCAAAUCGGGUGAGACUACCCGCUGAACUUAAGCAUAUCA
Molecule: ribosomal RNA, 94 nt
Filed under: Lactarius akahatsu
Lineage: Eukaryota; Fungi; Basidiomycota; Agaricomycetes; Russulales; Russulaceae
Description: partial 28S ribosomal RNA
Source: RNAcentral